Molecule: ribosomal RNA, 462 nt
Filed under: Blastocystis sp. subtype 5
Lineage: Eukaryota; Bigyra; Opalinata; Blastocystidae
Description: SSU rRNA
Rfam family: Eukaryotic small subunit ribosomal RNA
Source: RNAcentral
UGGAUUGAGACAAUGUACAAAUGUUAUCGAUAAACAAUUGGAGGGCAAGUCUGGUGCCAGCAGCCGCGGUAAUUCCAGCUCCAAUAGCGUAUAUUAACGUUGUUGCAGUUAAAAAGCUCGUAGUUGAAAUGUGGGAUGAAGUAUAUAAUGAAUUUCUAAUUCAAUUCUAUAUUGAUUCCCCUCUCCAAUUUAUUAUUAUGGGUAUUAAUUUAUUUGUAAUAAGAAUUGGUCAUUUACUGUGAGAAAAUUAGAGUGUUCAAAGCAGGCAUUUGCUUGAAUAGAUUAGCAUGGAAUAAUACUAAAAGGCUUUUAUGGUCGAUUUAAUUGGUUUGUUCAUAAAAGCAAGAUUAAAAGGAACAGUUGGGGGUAUUCAUAUUCAAUAGUUAGAGGUGAAAUUCUCGGAUUUAUGGAAGAUGAACAGGCCCAAAAAGAAAGUUUUAUUGUUGCCUACCCUCCCAAUAA